RNAcentral lists this ribosomal RNA (693 nucleotides) under Wolbachia pipientis. RNAcentral describes it as "bacterial SSU rRNA". It matches the Rfam family "Bacterial small subunit ribosomal RNA", at positions 199 to 915 of the family's 1533-position model. Lineage: Bacteria; Pseudomonadati; Pseudomonadota; Alphaproteobacteria; Rickettsiales; Anaplasmataceae. The record is from RNAcentral.
GGGGAAAAAUUUAUUGCUAUUAGAUGAGCCUAUAUUAGAUUAGCUAGUUGGUGGAGUAAUAGCCUACCAAGGCAAUGAUCUAUAGCUGAUCUGAGAGGAUGAUCAGCCACACUGGAACUGAGAUACGGUCCAGACUCCUACGGGAGGCAGCAGUGGGGAAUAUUGGACAAUGGGCGAAAGCCUGAUCCAGCCAUGCCGCAUGAGUGAAGAAGGCCUUUGGGUUGUAAAGCUCUUUUAGUGAGGAAGAUAAUGACGGUACUCACAGAAGAAGUCCUGGCUAACUCCGUGCCAGCAGCCGCGGUAAUACGGAGAGGGCUAGCGUUAUUCGGAAUUAUUGGGCGUAAAGGGCGCGUAGGCUGGUUAAUAAGUUAAAAGUGAAAUCCCGAGGCUUAACCUUGGAAUUGCUUUUAAAACUAUUAAUCUAGAGAUUGAAAGAGGAUAGAGGAAUUCCUGAUGUAGAGGUAAAAUUCGUAAAUAUUAGGAGGAACACCAGUGGCGAAGGCGUCUAUCUGGUUCAAAUCUGACGCUGAAGCGCGAAGGCGUGGGGAGCAAACAGGAUUAGAUACCCUGGUAGUCCACGCUGUAAACGAUGAAUGUUAAAUAUGGGAAGUUUACUUUCUGUAUUACAGCUAACGCGUUAAACAUUCCGCCUGGGGACUACGGUCGCAAGAUUAAAACUCAAAGGAAUUGACG